This 73-nucleotide transfer RNA is filed under the name Chthoniobacterales bacterium. RNAcentral describes it as "tRNA-Gly". It matches the Rfam family "tRNA". Rfam says of the family: Transfer RNA (tRNA) molecules are approximately 80 nucleotides in length. Their secondary structure includes four short double-helical elements and three loops (D, anti-codon, and T loops). Further hydrogen bonds mediate the characteristic L-shaped molecular structure. tRNAs have two regions of fundamental functional importance: the anti-codon, which is responsible for specific mRNA codon recognition, and the 3' end, to which the tRNAs corresponding amino acid is attached (by aminoacyl-tRNA synthetases). tRNAs cope with the degeneracy of the genetic code in two manners: having more than one tRNA (with a specific anti-codon) for a particular amino acid; and 'wobble' base-pairing, i.e. permitting non-standard base-pairing at the 3rd anti-codon position. Lineage: Bacteria; Pseudomonadati; Verrucomicrobiota; Spartobacteria; Chthoniobacterales. The record is from RNAcentral.
GCGGGUGUAACUCAGUUGGUAGAGUGCAACCUUGCCAAGGUUGAUGUCGCGAGUUCGAAUCUCGUCACCCGCU